RNAcentral lists this ribosomal RNA (322 nucleotides) under uncultured eukaryote. RNAcentral's name for it is "partial 18S ribosomal RNA". It matches the Rfam family "Eukaryotic small subunit ribosomal RNA", at positions 1470 to 1796 of the family's 1831-position model. The record is from RNAcentral.
CCCCUAGAUGUUCUGGGCCGCACGCGCGCUACACUGAACAGUUCAACAAGUCUUAACCUUGGCCGAUAGGUCUGGGUAAUCUUUGAACGCUGUUCGUGAUUGGGAUAGACCUUUGCAAUUAUGGGUCUUCAACGAGGAAUUCCUAGUAAACGCAAGUCAGCAGCUUGCGCUGAUUACGUCCCUGCCCUUUGUACACACCGCCCGUCGCUCCUACCGAUUGGGUGAUCCGGUGAAUGACUCGGACUUUGACGUUCCUAGACACUAGGUUCGUCGAGGGAAGUUUUGUGAACCUUAUCACUUGGAGGAAGGAGAAGUCGUAACA